UACGGAGGGUGCAAGCGUUAAUCGGAAUUACUGGGCGUAAAGCGCACGCAGGCGGUUGGAUAAGUUAGAUGUGAAAGCCCCGGGCUCAACCUGGGAAUUGCAUUUAAAACUGUCCAGCUAGAGUCUUGUAGAGGGGGGUAGAAUUCCAGGUGUAGCGGUGAAAUGCGUAGAGAUCUGGAGGAAUACCGGUGGCGAAGGCGGCCCCCUGGACAAAGACUGACGCUCAGGUGCGAAAGCGUGGGGAGCAAACAGGAUUAGAAACCCGAGUAGU
Molecule: ribosomal RNA, 271 nt
Filed under: uncultured bacterium
Lineage: Bacteria
Description: partial 16S ribosomal RNA
Rfam family: Bacterial small subunit ribosomal RNA
Source: RNAcentral